Molecule: non-coding RNA, 45 nt
Filed under: Trichobilharzia regenti
Lineage: Eukaryota; Metazoa; Platyhelminthes; Trematoda; Strigeidida; Schistosomatidae
Source: RNAcentral
AUCCUGAUGAAGAGUCCCAAAUAGGACGAAAUACACAUCCUGGAU